Molecule: ribosomal RNA, 445 nt
Filed under: uncultured bacterium
Lineage: Bacteria
Description: SSU rRNA
Rfam family: Bacterial small subunit ribosomal RNA
Source: RNAcentral
AGAACGAACGCUGGCGGCAGGCUUAACACAUGCAAGUCGAACGCUCGUAGCAAUACGGGAGUGGCAGACGGGUGAGUAACGCGUGGGAACAUACCCUCCGGUUCGGAAUAGCUCAGGGAAACUUGGAUUAAUACCGGAUACGGCUGAGAGGCGAAAGAUUUAUCGCCGGAGGAUUGGCCCGCGUUCGAUUAGCUUGUUGGUGAGGUAACGGCUCACCAAGGCGAUGAUCGAUAGCUGGUCUGAGAGGAUGAUCAGCCACAUUGGGACUGAGACACGGCCCAAACUCCUACGGGAGGCAGCAGUGGGAAUAUGGACAAUGGGCGCAAGCCUGAUCCAGCCAUGCCGCGUGAGUGAUGACGGCCUUAGGGUUGUAAAGCUCUUUCGCUCGGGACGAUAAUGACGGUACCGAGAUAAGAGCCCCGGCUAACUUCGCGCCAGCAGCCGC